Molecule: long non-coding RNA, 615 nt
Organism: Mesocricetus auratus (golden hamster)
Lineage: Eukaryota; Metazoa; Chordata; Mammalia; Rodentia; Cricetidae
Exons: 3
Source: RefSeq, a predicted model, not a curated record
CACCUAUGAUAAAAAGAACGUCAGACAAACCAAGGGAUGAACAUGAACAAUAAGAAGAUAGUGGUGGUUAAGCCGGACAAAAUUUCCUGUUGCCAUGGAAUGAAACUUACUGAAAUGGGGGACAGAUAGCUUUUGAGAAUCUCUCUCAGAAAGACUAAGAUGGAAAUAAGUGAACUGAUUGCUAUUGAGACAAGACCCUGAGGAAAGACAUUCACCAUCAACACCAGUGGGAAGCAACACGUCAAACGAUGGAAGCUGAACGCUGCUAAUCAUAUUAGCAAAUGAUGAUUGUCAUGUCCCUCAUAGAUGGAGAUCCACCCAGACAUUAAGUCUUAUGCAGAAAUACCACUUCCUCUAAGAGAGCCUCUCUUCAGAUACAAAUUGAAUUUCCCUGUGCUGAAGGCCUAUUGUGAAUCUUUAGCUGUUCCCAUAUCCUUCUCUGCUUCUUGUUUUAUGUCACAGCAUUCCCUUGAUGUCUGAUCUAAUCUACCAGAUGGAAAGUUCCCUGGGGAAGAUCCAGGCCCUCUACCCAUAACCUUCACUGGCUGGAUUCAAGUAUACAGGCAACAACCCUAUGGAGAUAAAACCCUAUAAAGUAUUAUACUUUCUCAUUUA